RNAcentral lists this long non-coding RNA (675 nucleotides) under Rattus norvegicus (Norway rat). RNAcentral describes it as "long non-coding RNA NONRATT029966". The record is from RNAcentral. Lineage: Eukaryota; Metazoa; Chordata; Mammalia; Rodentia; Muridae.
UGUUCCUGCAGGCAUCCAGGAAUGAGGAAGUGGCCUCGCCAGUAUGAAUGGUUCUUCAUGAAGAUGUGGGUAGAACACAUCUGGCUUCAGAAAUGGUAUGGAGGCAUAUCUGACAUCCCAAAGGAGGAAUACUUCAAAGCAGCCCCAAGAAAGGCCUGAUAGUAACACACAAGUCCCGGGGCUUGCUUUAAGAUGAAGACCUUCGAAGGGCAGAAGCCAGACAGUCUCUGACUGCCAUCUCUUUGUUUGAAGAGUACCCAGCUGCCCUGUCAUCCUACAGCAGAAUGAGAAAGGAUGAACAGGGAGCCCUGGGCUAGCGUUGAGAUCCAUCGGAGUGGUCCUUUGCUGAUCCAUCAUCCACAUAGAAACGUUUCUGUUCACUCUGUACUCAAUCCAGAAGCUCCCAUUUGGAAAUCGUGGUUGUCAAAAAUGGAAGUGGUAGUUGCUAUUCUGUUCUUUAAAAAAAUGAUGCCUGUAUAUAGCAUGUCAUUGCCUUGUAUCGUGAGAACAUUGUGUUGCUUACCACGCAAAAGCCGUGCCUUGGAUGGCAGUCCAUUGCUUAACAAGAGCUGAAUGCAUGCAUCACGCUGUGGCUGUGGGUUCAGGGUAAGGUGGAAGGCUUUCGGUCGGAAGGUUAUUCACUAUGUCACUAAAUUGCUGAUGUAUUUUCUAGAA